AAAUUGCAGCCCGACUUGAGUGAAGCUCAUUUUGCUUAAAAGCUUUUCAUAUUUGUAGAAAAUCUUCUGAGCAAAAUAGCGGGAACGGAAGGCGGAAAUGUCU
RNAcentral lists this unclassified non-coding RNA (103 nucleotides) under Halpernia frigidisoli. Its description in RNAcentral is "Chryseobacterium frigidisoli Flavo-1 RNA". Lineage: Bacteria; Pseudomonadati; Bacteroidota; Flavobacteriia; Flavobacteriales; Weeksellaceae. The record is from RNAcentral.